RNAcentral lists this ribosomal RNA (415 nucleotides) under Cupriavidus sp. H1-2-4-l. Its description in RNAcentral is "bacterial SSU rRNA". It matches the Rfam family "Bacterial small subunit ribosomal RNA", at positions 236 to 643 of the family's 1533-position model. RNAcentral also lists the same sequence under 4 other names. Lineage: Bacteria; Pseudomonadati; Pseudomonadota; Betaproteobacteria; Burkholderiales; Burkholderiaceae. The record is from RNAcentral.
UCUGAUUAGCUAGUUGGUGGGGUAAAGGCCCACCAAGGCGACGAUCAGUAGCUGGUCUGAGAGGACGAUCAGCCACACUGGGACUGAGACACGGCCCAGACUCCUACGGGAGGCAGCAGUGGGGAAUUUUGGACAAUGGGGGCAACCCUGAUCCAGCAAUGCCGCGUGUGUGAAGAAGGCCUUCGGGUUGUAAAGCACUUUUGUCCGGAAAGAAAUCGCGCUGGUUAAUACCUGGCGUGGAUGACGGUACCGGAAGAAUAAGCACCGGCUAACUACGUGCCAGCAGCCGCGGUAAUACGUAGGGUGCGAGCGUUAAUCGGAAUUACUGGGCGUAAAGCGUGCGCAGGCGGUUUUGUAAGACAGGCGUGAAAUCCCCGGGCUUAACCUGGGAAUUGCGCUUGUGACUGCAAGGCUA